Molecule: ribosomal RNA, 429 nt
Filed under: Gemmatimonadota bacterium
Lineage: Bacteria; Pseudomonadati; Gemmatimonadota
Description: Gemmatimonadetes bacterium partial 16S ribosomal RNA
Rfam family: Bacterial small subunit ribosomal RNA
Source: RNAcentral
UAGGGAAUCUUCGGCAAUGGACGAAAGUCUGACCGAGCAACGCCGCGUGAGUGAAGAAGGUUUUCGGAUCGUAAAACUCUGUUGUUAGAGAAGAACAAGGACGUUAGUAACUGAACGUCCCCUGACGGUAUCUAACCAGAAAGCCACGGCUAACUACGUGCCAGCAGCCGCGGUAAUACGUAGGUGGCAAGCGUUGUCCGGAUUUAUUGGGCGUAAAGCGAGCGCAGGCGGUUUCUUAAGUCUGAUGUGAAAGCCCCCGGCUCAACCGGGGAAGGUCAUUGGAAACUGGGAGACUUGAGUGCAGAAGAGGAGAGUGGAAUUCCAUGUGUAGCGGUGAGAUGAGUAGAUAUAUGGAGGAACCCCAGUGGCGAAGGCGGCUCUCUGGUCUGUAACUGACGCUGAGGCUCGAAAGCGUGGGGAGCAAACAGG